UGCAGCUUCACUGUGCUGUCUUAUUGGCAAAAAUAUCAGCUGAGAAAUUUAACUGAAAAGCUUUUAUUAAUUUGCAGCGUCACCUCAGUAAAGUCCCCCCCCCACACACACACACACACACAAAAAAGAAAUGAGAAAAAACACUGAGGUUAACUAUGCAUUAAAGAAUAUACAUACAAUAUGUUAGAAUUUGUGCUUUUUAAACUUAUAUACCUCCAAAUAAUAAUGACAGUAAUAUAACACAUAUCAGUAAGAGCUGUUUCUCAGGCAUAACUCUGGCUGGACUUCUUGGUGUGACGUGUGCAUCUAUUCCUUCUUCCAAACAGAAGAAGCACAGAGGCAUGGGGGAUGAGGGGUGGGUUUCCACCCUGCAAAGGUUUGCUGCUUCCAGCGUUUGGCUCUGAGGCAGGAAACAGAGCAGCACCACCAGAAGAAGUGGCCUGAUCUUUAUCUGAAGCCUUCCAGCAGCGUCCCGGUCACUUCCCCCAGCGCUCCAGAUCAUCCAGGUCCGUCAGCAGCAGCAUCUGGACAGACUGCUCCCGGGCCCUCUUUGACUUUGGCAUCGGCCUGCAGCUCCUCUGUGUCCUCUGUCACAUUCAGAACCACGACAAGCAGAGCACCGUCACCUGUCUGCAGUCCAGGACCUCAUCAGCCUCAUCCUCAGCUCCUCAAAUCCUCCUGUCCUCUACAACCACCUCUUUGUCCAUCUGCUCCUCCUCCAUCUGCUCCACCUCCACUGCUCCACCUCCAUCUGCUCCACCUCCGGCUGCUCCUCCUCCCACUGCUCCCUCUGAGCUCUCCUCAUCCGACCCUCUUCACGCUCCAGCAGCAGAAGCACAGCCUGCUCCAGGUUCUGAGCCUCGCUGGCUCCCAGCAGAGAUGAAUAAAAUAGACCUGCUCAGGACCAGAGAUGGAUUUCAGCCUCCAUCUGGAAAAACCAGCAACUGCAGUUAGACCUGAAGUUGUGGUCCACACCACCAGAGCCUGCUCUUAUUUCUCACCAGUUUCCUGCUCCAGAGUGGUUUUUCACCCACAGGCUCCUCCUGUGGAUGCUGGAUCACUGUGGAAAGUGAUUCUGCACUGGCCUGUAUGCAGAGAGCAGCUCACAGGUGCCGGUGUCCACAAGAGAGCUCGGACAGUCCUGGAUGUGUUCAGUGAUUUUUUUUUUUCAUUUUCUUAAUGGUGUUGUAUGUAAUUGUGUUGAAAUACUUUGCUGUACAUAAUUAGCUCAUAUAUCUCUUUGUGU
Long non-coding RNA from Salarias fasciatus (jewelled blenny), 1246 nucleotides. RefSeq lists it as uncharacterized. The record is from RefSeq and is a predicted model, not a curated record. Lineage: Eukaryota; Metazoa; Chordata; Actinopteri; Blenniiformes; Blenniidae. The transcript has 3 exons.